Molecule: non-coding RNA, 73 nt
Organism: Orcinus orca (killer whale)
Lineage: Eukaryota; Metazoa; Chordata; Mammalia; Artiodactyla; Delphinidae
Source: the annotation of a RefSeq genome assembly
UCCCUGGUGGUCCAGUGGUUAGGACUUGGUGCUUUUGCUGCCAUGGGCCCAGGUUCAGUUCCUGGUUGGGGAA